RNAcentral lists this ribosomal RNA (254 nucleotides) under uncultured bacterium. RNAcentral's name for it is "partial 16S ribosomal RNA". It matches the Rfam family "Bacterial small subunit ribosomal RNA", at positions 524 to 776 of the family's 1533-position model. The record is from RNAcentral.
UACGGGGGGAGCAAGCGUUGUUCGGAUUUACUGGGCGUAAAGGGCGCGUAGGCGGCCAGCACAAGUCAGUUGUGAAAUCUCCGGGCUUAACUCGGAAAGGUCAACUGAUACUGUGCGGCUAGAGUGCAGAAGGGGCAACUGGAAUUCUCGGUGUAGCGGUGAAAUGCGUAGAUAUCGAGAGGAACACCUGCGGCGAAGGCGGGUUGCUGGGCUGAUACUGACGCUGAGGCGCGAAAGCCAGGGGAGCGAACGGG